RNAcentral lists this ribosomal RNA (506 nucleotides) under uncultured bacterium. RNAcentral describes it as "partial 16S ribosomal RNA". It matches the Rfam family "Bacterial small subunit ribosomal RNA", at positions 30 to 523 of the family's 1533-position model. The record is from RNAcentral.
AUUGAACGCUGGCGGCAGGCCUAACACAUGCAAGUCGAACGGUAACAGGAAUCAGCUUGCUGAUUCGCUGACGAGUGGCGGACGGGUGAGUAAUGUCUGGGAAACUGCCUGAUGGAGGGGGAUAACUACUGGAAACGGUAGCUAAUACCGCAUAACGUCGCAAGACCAAAGAGGGGGACCUUCGGGCCUCUUGCCAUCGGAUGUGCCCAGAUGGGAUUAGCUAGUAGGUGGGGUAAUGGCUCACCUAGGCGACGAUCCCUAGCUGGUCUGAGAGGAUGACCAGCCACACUGGAACUGAGACACGGUCCAGACUCCUACGGGAGGCAGCAGUGGGGAAUAUUGCACAAUGGGCGCAAGCCUGAUGCAGCCAUGCCGCGUGUAUGAAGAAGGCCUUCGGGUUGUAAAGUACUUUCAGCGAGGAGGAAGGUGUUGAGGUUAAUAACCUUAGCAAUUGACGUUACUCGCAGAAGAAGCACAGGCUAACUCCGUGCCAGCAGCCGCCGUAA